UGUGUGUUAGUGGAAGCGUCUGGAAAGGCGCGCGAUACAGGGUGACAGCCCCGUACACAAAAAUGCACAUGCUGUGAGCUCGAUGAGUAGGGCGGGACACGUGGUAUCCUGUCUGAAUAUGGGGGGACCAUCCUCCAAGGCUAAAUACUCCUGACUGACCGAUAGUGAACCAGUACCGUGAGGGAAAGGCGAAAAGAACCCCGGCGAGGGGAGUGAAAAAGAACCUGAAACCGUGUACGUACAAGCAGUGGGAGCACGCUUAGGCGUGUGACUGCGUACCUUUUGUAUAAUGGGUCAGCGACUUAUAUUCUGUAGCAAGGUUAACCGAAUAGGGGAGCCGAAGGGAAACCGAGUCUUAACUGGGCGUUAAGUUGCAGGGUAUAGACCCGAAACCCGGUGAUCUAGCCAUGGGCAGGUUGAAGGUUGGGUAACACUAACUGGAGGACCGAACCGACUAAUGUUGAAAAAUUAGCGGAUGACUUGUGGCUGGGGGUGAAAGGCCAAUCAAACCGGGAGAUAGCUGGUUCUCCCCGAAAGCUAUUUAGGUAGCGCCUCGUGAAUUCAUCUCCGGGGGUAGAGCACUGUUUCGGCAAGGGGGUCAUCCCGACUUACCAACCCGAUGCAAACUGCGAAUACCGGAGAAUGUUAUCACGGGAGACACACGGCGGGUGCUAACGUCCGUCGUGAAGAGGGAAACAACCCAGACCGCCAGCUAAGGUCCCAAAGUCAUGGUUAAGUGGGAAACGAUGUGGGAAGGCCCAGACAGCCAGGAUGUUGGCUUAGAAGCAGCCAUCAUUUAAAGAAAGCGUAAUAGCUCACUGGUCGAGUCGGCCUGCGCGGAAGAUGUAACGGGGCUAAACCAUGCACCGAAGCUGCGGCAGCGACGCUUAUGCGUUGUUGGGUAGGGGAGCGUUCUGUAAGCCUGUGAAGGUGUGCUGUGAGGCAUGCUGGAGGUAUCAGAAGUGCGAAUGCUGACAUAAGUAACGAUAAAGCGGGUGAAAAGCCCGCUCGCCGGAAGACCAAGGGUUCCUGUCCAACGUUAAUCGGGGCAGGGUGAGUCGACCCCUAAGGCGAGGCCGAAAGGCGUAGUCGAUGGGAAACAGGUUAAUAUUCCUGUACUUGGUGUUACUGCGAAGGGGGGACGGAGAAGGCUAUGUUGGCCGGGCGACGGUUGUCCCGGUUUAAGCGUGUAGGCUGGUUUUCCAGGCAAAUCCGGAAAAUCAAGGCUGAGGCGUGAUGACGAGGCACUACGGUGCUGAAGCAACAAAUGCCCUGCUUCCAGGAAAAGCCUCUAAGCAUCAGGUAACAUCAAAUCGUACCCCAAACCGACACAGGUGGUCAGGUAGAGAAUACCAAGGCGCUUGAGAGAACUCGGGUGAAGGAACUAGGCAAAAUGGUGCCGUAACUUCGGGAGAAGGCACGCUGAUAUGUAGGUGAAGUCCCUCGCGGAUGGAGCUGAAAUCAGUCGAAGAUACCAGCUGGCUGCAACUGUUUAUUAAAAACACAGCACUGUGCAAACACGAAAGUGGACGUAUACGGUGUGACGCCUGCCCGGUGCCGGAAGGUUAAUUGAUGGGGUCAGCGCAAGCGAAGCUCUUGAUCGAAGCCCCGGUAAACGGCGGCCGUAACUAUAACGGUCCUAAGGUAGCGAAAUUCCUUGUCGGGUAAGUUCCGACCUGCACGAAUGGCGUAAUGAUGGCCAGGCUGUCUCCACCCGAGACUCAGUGAAAUUGAACUCGCUGUGAAGAUGCAGUGUACCCGCGGCAAGACGGAAAGACCCCGUGAACCUUUACUAUAGCUUGACACUGAACAUUGAGCCUUGAUGUGUAGGAUAGGUGGGAGGCUUAGAAGUGUGGACGCCAGUCUGCAUGGAGCCGACCUUGAAAUACCACCCUUUAAUGUUUGAUGUUCUAACGUUGACCCGUAAUCCGGGUUGCGGACAGUGUCUGGUGGGUAGUUUGACUGGGGCGGUCUCCUCCUAAAGAGUAACGGAGGAGCACGAAGGUUGGCUAAUCCUGGUCGGACAUCAGGAGGUUAGUGCAAUGGCAUAAGCCAGCUUGACUGCGAGCGUGACGGCGCGAGCAGGUGCGAAAGCAGGUCAUAGUGAUCCGGUGGUUCUGAAUGGAAGGGCCAUCGCUCAACGGAUAAAAGGUACUCCGGGGAUAACAGGCUGAUACCGCCCAAGAGUUCAUAUCGACGGCGGUGUUUGGCACCUCGAUGUCGGCUCAUCACAUCCUGGGGCUGAAGUAGGUCCCAAGGGUAUGGCUGUUCGCCAUUUAAAGUGGUACGCGAGCUGGGUUUAGAACGUCGUGAGACAGUUCGGUCCCUAUCUGCCGUGGGCGCUGGAGAACUGAGGGGGGCUGCUCCUAGUACGAGAGGACCGGAGUGGACGCAUCACUGGUGUUCGGGUUGUCAUGCCAAUGGCACUGCCCGGUAGCUAAAUGCGGAAGAGAUAAGUGCUGAAAGCAUCUAAGCACGAAACUUGCCCCGAGAUGAGUUCUCCCUGACUCCUUGAG
This 2516-nucleotide ribosomal RNA is filed under the name Escherichia coli. Its description in RNAcentral is "partial 23S ribosomal RNA". It matches the Rfam family "Bacterial large subunit ribosomal RNA", at positions 323 to 2825 of the family's 2925-position model. Lineage: Bacteria; Pseudomonadati; Pseudomonadota; Gammaproteobacteria; Enterobacterales; Enterobacteriaceae. The record is from RNAcentral.